RNAcentral lists this ribosomal RNA (253 nucleotides) under uncultured bacterium. Its description in RNAcentral is "partial 16S ribosomal RNA". It matches the Rfam family "Bacterial small subunit ribosomal RNA", at positions 524 to 776 of the family's 1533-position model. The record is from RNAcentral.
UACGUAGGGGGCAAGCGUUAUCCGGAAUUAUUGGGCGUAAAGCGCGCGCAGGUGGUUUCUUAAGUCUGAUGUGAAAGCCCACGGCUCAACCGUGGAGGGUCAUUGGAAACUGGGAGACUUGAGUGCAGAAGAGGAAAGUGGAAUUCCAUGUGUAGCGGUGAAAUGCGUAGAGAUAUGGAGGAACACCAAUGGCGAAGGCGACUUUCUGGUCUGCAACUGACACUGAGGCGCGAAAGCGUGGGGAGCAAACAGG